CUUGUUUGGUUUGGUGUAUUGGCAUAGCCAAUACACCCCUAAUCGGUGGGCCCCACCUAAUCCGGGUGUAACACGUCAUUUGGUUUGAUGUAUUGGUAAUACGCACCUAAUCCAUUACCUUCUUAAUCGGUGAAAACCACCGAUUUCUAUUCCCCCCUCUUUGCCCAGAUUAGCUACCGAUUGAGCAUCACCUCCCUGAUUUGCCCUCCCCCCAUCCCCUUGUUUCUCUUCUGUUCCUUCAUCCGAUUUCCUUCCUUAUUUCUUUGCUUUUGUUUUCUGCCGAUUUCCUCCCAGUCCAUUACGCCUCUUUGCUGCCGAUUUGUUCCCUCCGUUUCCUUUCUUUUCUUUUUCGCUCUGCCACUCUUUCGAUUGCCUUCUCAACCAGUCGACCUUCUUCUUCUCAACCAGUCUCCAGGUUACU
Molecule: long non-coding RNA, 421 nt
Filed under: Gossypium barbadense (sea-island cotton)
Lineage: Eukaryota; Viridiplantae; Streptophyta; Magnoliopsida; Malvales; Malvaceae
Description: long non-coding RNA (GBAR_LNC008463)
Source: RNAcentral